CGGGUUGUAAAGCACUUUCAGUAGGGAGGAAGGUAGUGUAGUUAACACCUGCAUUAUUUGACGUUACCUACAGAAGAAGCACCGGCUAACUCCGUGCCAGCAGCCGCGGUAAUACGGGAGGGUGCGAGCGUUAAUACGGAAUUACUGGGACGUAAAGCGCAUGCAGGCGGCCUGUUAAGUACAGAUGUAGAAACGGCCCGGGGACCUUUAACCGUACGGUAAUUGCUAUUUAGUAAACGUGGCGAGGCUAGAGUCUUGUAGAGGGGGGUAGGAAUUUCAGGUGUAGCGGUGAAAUGCGUAGAGAUCUGAAGGAAUACCAGUGGCGAAGGCGGCCCCCUGGACAAAGACUGACGCUCAGAUGCGAAAGCGUGGGGAGCAAACAGGAUUAGAUACCCUGGUAG
This 401-nucleotide ribosomal RNA is filed under the name uncultured bacterium. Its description in RNAcentral is "bacterial SSU rRNA". It matches the Rfam family "Bacterial small subunit ribosomal RNA", at positions 419 to 793 of the family's 1533-position model. The record is from RNAcentral.